RNAcentral lists this ribosomal RNA (732 nucleotides) under Shigella flexneri. RNAcentral's name for it is "bacterial SSU rRNA". It matches the Rfam family "Bacterial small subunit ribosomal RNA", at positions 1 to 722 of the family's 1533-position model. The record is from RNAcentral. Lineage: Bacteria; Pseudomonadati; Pseudomonadota; Gammaproteobacteria; Enterobacterales; Enterobacteriaceae.
AAAUUGAAGAGUUUGAUCAUGGCUCAGAUUGAACGCUGGCGGCAGGCCUAACACAUGCAAGUCGAACGGUAACAGGAAACAGCUUGCUGUUUCGCUGACGAGUGGCGGACGGGUGAGUAAUGUCUGGGAAACUGCCCGAUGGAGGGGGAUAACUACUGGAAACGGUAGCUAAUACCGCAUAACGUCGCAAGACCAAAGAGGGGGACCUUCGGGCCUCUUGCUAUCGGAUGUGCCCAGAUGGGAUUAGCUAGUAGGUGGGGUAACGGCUCACCUAGGCGACGAUCCCUAGCUGGUCUGAGAGGAUGACCAGCCACACUGGAACUGAGACACGGUCCAGACUCCUACGGGAGGCAGCAGUGGGGAAUAUUGCACAAUGGGCGCAAGCCUGAUGCAGCCAUGCCGCGUGUAUGAAGAAGGCCUUCGGGUUGUAAAGUACUUUCAGCGGGGAGGAAGGGAGUAAAGUUAAUACCUUUACUCAUUGACGUUACCCGCAGAAGAAGCACCGGCUAACUCCGUGCCAGCAGCCGCGGUAAUACGGAGGGUGCAAGCGUUAAUCGGAAUUACUGGGCGUAAAGCGCACGCAGGCGGUUUGUUAAGUCAGAUGUGAAAUCCCCGGGCUCAACCUGGGAACUGCAUCUGAUACUGGCAAGCUUGAGUCUCGUAGAGGGGGGUAGAAUUCCAGGUGUAGCGGUGAAAUGCGUAGAGAUCUGGAGGAAUACCGGUGGCGAAGGC